UACGAAGGGGGCUAGCGUUGUUCGGAAUCACUGGGCGUAAAGCGCACGUAGGCGGCUCUUUAAGUCGGGGGUGAAAUCCUGGAGCUCAACUCCAGAACUGCCUUCGAUACUGGAAGACUCGAGUCCGGGAGAGGUGAGUGGAACUGCGAGUGUAGAGGUGAAAUUCGUAGAUAUUCGCAAGAACACCAGUGGCGAAGGCGGCUCACUGGCCCGGUACUGACGCUGAGGUGCGAAAGCGUGGGGAGCAAACAGG
RNAcentral lists this ribosomal RNA (253 nucleotides) under uncultured bacterium. RNAcentral describes it as "partial 16S ribosomal RNA". It matches the Rfam family "Bacterial small subunit ribosomal RNA", at positions 524 to 776 of the family's 1533-position model. The record is from RNAcentral.